GUCGAGGAUCUUCGGCAAUGGGCGCAAGCCUGACCGAGCGACGCCGCGUGUGCGAUGAAGGCCUUCGGGUUGUAAAGCACUGUCGAGGGGGAGGAAAGCCCGCAAGGGUCUGACCUAUCCCUGGAGGAAGCACGGGCUAAGUUCGUGCCAGCAGCCGCGGUAAGACGAACCGUGCAAACGUUGUUCGGAUUCACUGGGCUUAAAGGGCGCGUAGGCGGUCGUUCAAGUCGGGGGUGAAAUCCUCUCGCUCAACGAGAGAACAGCUUCCGAUACUGGACGUCUUGAGGGAGGUAGGGGCAACUGGAACUUCCGGUGGAGCGGUGAAAUGCGUAGAUAUCGGAAGGAACGCCGGUGGCGAAAGCGAGUUGCUGGACCUCUUCUGACGCUGAGGCGCGAAAGCCAGGGGAGCAAACGGGAUUAGAAACCCCAGUAGUCC
RNAcentral lists this ribosomal RNA (436 nucleotides) under uncultured bacterium. Its description in RNAcentral is "bacterial SSU rRNA". It matches the Rfam family "Bacterial small subunit ribosomal RNA", at positions 354 to 796 of the family's 1533-position model. The record is from RNAcentral.